RNAcentral lists this ribosomal RNA (3013 nucleotides) under Salmonella enterica subsp. enterica serovar Sloterdijk str. ATCC 15791. RNAcentral's name for it is "bacterial LSU rRNA". It matches the Rfam family "Bacterial large subunit ribosomal RNA". The record is from RNAcentral. Lineage: Bacteria; Pseudomonadati; Pseudomonadota; Gammaproteobacteria; Enterobacterales; Enterobacteriaceae.
GGGUUGUGAGGUUAAGCGACUAAGCGUACACGGUGGAUGCCCUGGCAGUCAGAGGCGAUGAAGGGCGUGCUAAUCUGCGAUAAGCGCCGGUAAGGUGAUAUGAACCGUUAUAACCGGCGAUACCCGAAUGGGGAAACCCAGUGUGAUUCGUCACACUAUCAUUAACUGAAUCCAUAGGUUAAUGAGGCGAACCGGGGGAACUGAAACAUCUAAGUACCCCGAGGAAAAGAAAUCAACCGAGAUUCCCCCAGUAGCGGCGAGCGAACGGGGAGGAGCCCAGAGCCUGAAUCAGCAUGUGUGUUAGUGGAAGCGUCUGGAAAGGCGCGCGAUACAGGGUGACAGCCCCGUACACAAAAGCGCAUGUGCUGUGAGCUCGAUGAGUAGGGCGGGACACGUGGUAUCCUGUCUGAAUAUGGGGGGACCAUCCUCCAAGGCUAAAUACUCCUGACUGACCGAUAGUGAACCAGUACCGUGAGGGAAAGGCGAAAAGAACCCCGGCGAGGGGAGUGAAAAAGAACCUGAAACCGUGUACGUACAAGCAGUGGGAGCACAGGUUUACCUGUGUGACUGCGUACCUUUUGUAUAAUGGGUCAGCGACUUAUAUUCUGUAGCAAGGUUAACCGUAUAGGGGAGCCGUAGGGAAACCGAGUCUUAAUUGGGCGUUAAGUUGCAGGGUAUAGACCCGAAACCCGGUGAUCUAGCCAUGGGCAGGUUGAAGGUUGGGUAACACUAACUGGAGGACCGAACCGACUAAUGUUGAAAAAUUAGCGGAUGACCUGUGGCUGGGGGUGAAAGGCCAAUCAAACCGGGAGAUAGCUGGUUCUCCCCGAAAGCUAUUUAGGUAGCGCCUCGUGAACUCAUCUCCGGGGGUAGAGCACUGUUUCGGCUAGGGGGCCAUCCCGGCUUACCAACCCGAUGCAAACUGCGAAUACCGGAGAAUGUUAUCACGGGAGACACACGGCGGGUGCUAACGUCCGUCGUGAAGAGGGAAACAACCCAGACCGCCAGCUAAGGUCCCAAAGUCAUGGUUAAGUGGGAAACGAUGUGGGAAGGCCCAGACAGCCAGGAUGUUGGCUUAGAAGCAGCCAUCAUUUAAAGAAAGCGUAAUAGCUCACUGGUCGAGUCGGCCUGCGCGGAAGAUGUAACGGGGCUAAACCAUGCACCGAAGCUGCGGCAGCGAACGUAUCACCCAAGACAACUUUACGGAGUUGACGAUUGACGGAGCGAAGCGACGUCAAAGCGUUCAUUAAAGUCGAGUUGGCUUAGGGAUACGUUCGUUGGGUAGGGGAGCGUUCUGUAAGCCUGCGAAGGUGGCCUGUGAGGGUUGCUGGAGGUAUCAGAAGUGCGAAUGCUGACAUAAGUAACGAUAAAGCGGGUGAAAAGCCCGCUCGCCGGAAGACCAAGGGUUCCUGUCCAACGUUAAUCGGGGCAGGGUGAGUCGACCCCUAAGGCGAGGCCGAAAGGCGUAGUCGAUGGGAAACGGGUUAAUAUUCCCGUACUUGGUGUUACUGCGAAGGGGGGACGGAGAAGGCUAUGUUGGCCGGGCGACGGUUGUCCCGGUUUAAGCGUGUAGGUGUGUGUUCCAGGUAAAUCCGGUUCACUUUAACACUGAGGCGUGACGACGAGGCACUACGGUGCUGAAGCAACAAAUGCCCUGCUUCCAGGAAAAGCCUCUAAGCAUCAGGUAACAUCAAAUCGUACCCCAAACCGACACAGGUGGUCAGGUAGAGAAUACCAAGGCGCUUGAGAGAACUCGGGUGAAGGAACUAGGCAAAAUGGUGCCGUAACUUCGGGAGAAGGCACGCUGACACGUAGGUGAAGUGAUUUACUCACGGAGCUGAAGUCAGUCGAAGAUACCAGCUGGCUGCAACUGUUUAUUAAAAACACAGCACUGUGCAAACACGAAAGUGGACGUAUACGGUGUGACGCCUGCCCGGUGCCGGAAGGUUAAUUGAUGGGGUCAGCGCAAGCGAAGCUCCUGAUCGAAGCCCCGGUAAACGGCGGCCGUAACUAUAACGGUCCUAAGGUAGCGAAAUUCCUUGUCGGGUAAGUUCCGACCUGCACGAAUGGCGUAAUGAUGGCCAGGCUGUCUCCACCCGAGACUCAGUGAAAUUGAACUCGCUGUGAAGAUGCAGUGUACCCGCGGCAAGACGGAAAGACCCCGUGAACCUUUACUAUAGCUUGACACUGAACAUUGAGCCUUGAUGUGUAGGAUAGGUGGGAGGCUUUGAAGCGUGGACGCCAGUCUGCGUGGAGCCGACCUUGAAAUACCACCCUUUAAUGUUUGAUGUUCUAACGUGGACCCGUGAUCCGGGUUGCGGACAGUGUCUGGUGGGUAGUUUGACUGGGGCGGUCUCCUCCUAAAGAGUAACGGAGGAGCACGAAGGUUGGCUAAUCCUGGUCGGACAUCAGGAGGUUAGUGCAAUGGCAUAAGCCAGCUUGACUGCGAGCGUGACGGCGCGAGCAGGUGCGAAAGCAGGUCAUAGUGAUCCGGUGGUUCUGAAUGGAAGGGCCAUCGCUCAACGGAUAAAAGGUACUCCGGGGAUAACAGGCUGAUACCGCCCAAGAGUUCAUAUCGACGGCGGUGUUUGGCACCUCGAUGUCGGCUCAUCACAUCCUGGGGCUGAAGUAGGUCCCAAGGGUAUGGCUGUUCGCCAUUUAAAGUGGUACGCGAGCUGGGUUUAGAACGUCGUGAGACAGUUCGGUCCCUAUCUGCCGUGGGCGCUGGAGAACUGAGGGGGGCUGCUCCUAGUACGAGAGGACCGGAGUGGACGCAUCACUGGUGUUCGGGUUGUCAUGCCAAUGGCACUGCCCGGUAGCUAAAUGCGGAAGAGAUAAGUGCUGAAAGCAUCUAAGCACGAAACUUGCCCCGAGAUGAGUUCUCCCUGAGACUUAGAGUCUCCUGAAGGAACGUUGAAGACGACGACGUUGAUAGGCCGGGUGUGUAAGCGCAGCGAUGCGUUGAGCUAACCGGUACUAAUGAACCGUGAGGCUUAACCUUACAACGCCGAAG